This 1032-nucleotide long non-coding RNA is filed under the name Mus spicilegus (steppe mouse). Its description in RNAcentral is "lncRNA (ENSMSIG00000014948.1)". The record is from RNAcentral. Lineage: Eukaryota; Metazoa; Chordata; Mammalia; Rodentia; Muridae.
GUGGAAACUAGGUGAGAUGGGAUGACACAAAACAGUGCACAUAAGAACUUGCUGGCCACUAUAAGGUCCUCUGGAGGACCUAGUCUGAAAUGAACCCUCCCCAGACUUCUAUAUAGACCAAGAGCAGAAGCAGAGCCUGGAAAGUCACUGCAGAGAGACAGCUGAGGAGGAGGUACCAGGGUGGCAGUGACCGGUGACAAAGGGGGCUCAGAGGUACGCUUUUAACGUGCAGCCAGCAUGUUUGGCCAACGACUGGGUGCAGGAAGUGAAGAGAACACAGGACCCAAGAAUAACCAUGACCUUUUCUUGUCCUGAGAUGGAAGGUCUCACCAAGACCUCAGACAAGGAAAAACCCACUGGAGAAGGUUCAGAGGAGACCUGAUGUGAACGCUGUUGUAGUUGAAAUUGACAGUCACACCCAUAGCACAGGAUGGCUACCCAGCUGAGGCACAAAGGCUAGAGUUCCAAAUGGGAAUGACAGUUGGGGGUCAGGAGCACAGUGGAAGUAGGCACAGGGACCCAGCUCUAUAUUUCCAUCCCAUGCUGUCCCAAGACUCACAACAAGUUCCUGUGACCUCUCAAACUAUGCGAGGGGCCGGCGAACACGUGAGCAGAGAAGGUUCUGUGUGAAAAGUGUCCAAGUAGACAUUUGUGACUGAGAUGAGGGCUCAAAUGCUGUGUCCCUGCAUAUGGAGGAACAGAGGGCUCUGGCCUUCAGAAGACACCACCAACACUGUGAGAAGGGGCCCAGAGGAGCGGCCACACCAUUCCCGGAGCUUGCCGAGAGACUCCGACACUGGUGUUAGUGGGAAUUCUGAAGCUCCCGGCACAUGAGCUCAUGCGUGGCCGAGUGCCCAGCCCUAUGCUUCACGGCUUUGGAAUGUGUUUUCUAGGCUGGCCUGCCUUGCUCCCCCCAUCUCACCACAGCAAGGGCUGCUGUCUGCUCUCGGCUCUUCAAAGCCAGGCAAAUUCCAGAAAGGCUAUUAAUUUGCACUGGUGUGCGAUGCUGUCCCAGGCAAAAUUCUCCCUGGG